CGAAACCUCGGGGGUUACACCGUACAACUUGCAAAAUUAAUUAGUGCCCGGCUCCGCUUCAACUUUACCGGCUUCAACUUUAUUAAUACCGGCUUCAUUAAUCAAAAUAAUCCGGCCUACCUAUUUAUAACUAAUUACAUAGAAUCCUACUCUAAUUCGAUUUCAUCUUAAUCACAAUUUAAAUAAUAACCAAAUAUAUCUUAACCAUAUAAUAAUAGAUGAGAUCAAAUAAUCUAAUCCUAAUCUCAUUAGCAUUAUCUUU
This 262-nucleotide long non-coding RNA is filed under the name Ananas comosus (pineapple). RNAcentral's name for it is "long non-coding RNA (ACOM_LNC037792)". Lineage: Eukaryota; Viridiplantae; Streptophyta; Magnoliopsida; Poales; Bromeliaceae. The record is from RNAcentral.